Molecule: non-coding RNA, 1803 nt
Organism: Pocillopora verrucosa
Lineage: Eukaryota; Metazoa; Cnidaria; Anthozoa; Scleractinia; Pocilloporidae
Source: RefSeq, a predicted model, not a curated record
CCGAGUUCACUGAAACCUUUGUGAAACGUGAAUGAAAAGACUAACAUGGCGAAAGAACACCGUACAUUCAAAGAGAAGUGCAUUUAUAUUGAGCGCUUAAACGAAAACUCGUUUCUUAUCAAGAAAGGCUUUGUCCCAAACAUGAAGGUUGAAGGUAUUUUAGAUAUAUAAACAAGCUGCUCAAAAAACUAAUGUCUGAUGAGCUGAAGCACUGGGCUGGAACUCAAGAACUGGAGUGUCAUGGUAGCAACUUCCAGUCAUGGUCUGUUCUCGUUAUUCAGUGAUGACAAACCUCUUCUCAGUUGCCAUGAUUUGAAUAUUGUGUAUUGUGUCAACCCAGAAGAAUCAGUGGGCAGAGCCUUAUUCAAAUAAAUCAUGAAUAUCCAAACUGAGCAGGAAUUGUCCCCGGGCCCACCGACGUGCUGGCACACAUUGGCUAUGUUCCUCGAACAGUCAUUCAGUACGCUAAGUACCUUCUAAGAGGCAACAGUAACGUUGAACUUUUCAUGGUCAAGGCAAUUACUAAUAUUCUACAAGUACUAGAAGACGAAGCACUGUAGAUUCCUGAUAGGUGCAAACGUGUGCGCAUCAGGUCACUAGCGAUGAUAAAUACUUGCAAGGCUAGUGAUCACCAUCAACCUUUUCCUGGUCUUGUUUGAAACCACCAGGAUUCGAUUUGAAAGAAGUAUCCGUCGUUAGCCCUCUGGUUGAAGAAGCUGUUGUGCAGUUUACGUUGGAAAAUCCUAAUUAUUUGUUGGAUGUAGUGGAUACCAUAAAAGGCCUAUCUGCAGGGAGACCUGGCAACUUAGUUGGCAAAUAUUGGGAGAAGCUGAUAUUUAGCAAUCUCAAGGAAUGUGUGAAAAAUGAGUAUUCCUUCAAGGAAGAGGCAUGUGGUUCCACUGCUGCUAGAUCCUACUUAAAUUUGUGUGGACAUCAAAGCAAAACAGAUACGAGAAAAUCGAUAGAGCAGAUAACUAGAGAUAAAUAUAGUGCAAUGAUAGUCCAUUGUCCUAAUACCAGCGCCUUUGACUUUGUCAUCGUUCAUAAAUGCAACAAAAUUCAUGCCAUUCAGGUAACCGUUCAAACCGCUGCGAAGAAAUGUAACGACAGUGACUUUUUCAAGACUGAAAAUAUUCACUUUACGUAUUUACUAGCGCCUUAUGAGGUCGACGUCAACGCUAUUAAAUUGAAAUAAAAGUUAUAUGAUGCAUAUGUGGCGUAUGGUUUGCGAAUUGUAAAUGGAGCCAGUUUCCUAACUCAGAAAGAAUGGAGUACUUUUCAAUUUGGCGUCGAAGCCACUUGAAGAUCUGUCUUGGCGUGGAUUAAUAAAACGGGUAUUUCAUCUGCAACAUGUUUGUUGCCCAUGUGGAAAAAGGGACUUCCCUUCUCAUGAGGCUUGAAAGAAACCACCCCGAACAUACGGAAGAUUGCUGAAGUUUACCCCCUCUUAUUUUGAAAACGAGCGCGGUGACCCCCAUUUUUAUUUCAUUUAUUUCUGAACUUCACUUGUAUCGAUCUUUGUUUAUGCAAAGUUUCAAAACUUUUCUAUAAGUCCCGAACUACCUUAAAAUAUAUGCAUUAAUAUAUAUACUAAUUAGACUAUUAUAUAUUAUUUACGUGCAUAUAAUGAGACGAGAUUAUACAAACAUUGACAUGUGUCAAGAACUACAAAAGUAGUUCAAAUUUUCUACCGCCAUAGCGAACAAAACAAAACUAGACCCUGUGAGCAGGGUAACUGGGAUACCUGGAUGGUACUGGAUCCUUGGAAUCAAGUGUAGUGAUACUACGGGUGUCGGACUAGUA